RNAcentral lists this ribosomal RNA (497 nucleotides) under uncultured bacterium. Its description in RNAcentral is "partial 16S ribosomal RNA". It matches the Rfam family "Bacterial small subunit ribosomal RNA", at positions 28 to 507 of the family's 1533-position model. The record is from RNAcentral.
GAUGAACGCUGGCGGCGUGCCUAAUACAUGCAAGUCGAGCGAACAGACGAGGAGCUUGCUCCUCUGAUGUUAGCGGCGGACGGGUGAGUAACACGUGGAUAACCUACCUAUAAGACUGGGAUAACUUCGGGAAACCGGAGCUAAUACCGGAUAACAUGUUGAACCGCAUGGUUCAACAGUGAAAGACGGUCUUGCUGUCACUUAUAGAUGGAUCCGCGCCGCAUUAGCUAGUUGGUAAGGUAACGGCUUACCAAGGCAACGAUGCGUAGCCGACCUGAGAGGGGGAUCGGCCACACUGGAACUGAGACACGGUCCAGACUCCUACGGGAGGCAGCAGUAGGGAAUCUUCCGCAAUGGGCGAAAGCCUGACGGAGCAACGCCGCGUGAGUGAAGAAGGUCUUCGGAUCGUAAAACUCUGUUAUUAGGGAAGAACAAAUGUGUAAGUAACUAUGCACGUCUUGACGGUACCUAAUCAGAAAGCCACGGCUAACUACGUG